GACGAACGCUGGCGGCGUGCCUAAUACAUGCAAGUCGAACGCUGAAGGAGGAGCUUGCUUCUCUGGAUGAGUUGCGAACGGGUGAGUAACGCGUAGGUAACCUGCCUGGUAGCGGGGGAUAACUAUUGGAAACGAUAGCUAAUACCGCAUAACAGUAGAUAUCGCAUGAUAUCUACUUGAAAGGUGCAAUUGCAUCACUACCAGAUGGACCUGCGUUGUAUUAGCUAGUUGGUGAGGUAACGGCUCACCAAGGCGACGAUACAUAGCCGACCUGAGAGGGUGAUCGGCCACACUGGGACUGAGACACGGCCCAGACUCCUACGGGAGGCAGCAGUAGGGAAUCUUCGGCAAUGGACGGAAGUCUGACCGAGCAACGCCGCGUGAGUGAAGAAGGGUUUCGGAUCGUAAAGCUCGGUUGUAAGAGAAGAACGAGUGUGAGAGUGGAAAGUUCACACUGUGACGGUAGCUUACCAGAAAGGGACGGCUAACUACGUG
Molecule: ribosomal RNA, 495 nt
Filed under: uncultured bacterium
Lineage: Bacteria
Description: partial 16S ribosomal RNA
Rfam family: Bacterial small subunit ribosomal RNA
Source: RNAcentral